This 2672-nucleotide ribosomal RNA is filed under the name Klebsiella pneumoniae. RNAcentral describes it as "partial 23S ribosomal RNA". It matches the Rfam family "Bacterial large subunit ribosomal RNA". Lineage: Bacteria; Pseudomonadati; Pseudomonadota; Gammaproteobacteria; Enterobacterales; Enterobacteriaceae. The record is from RNAcentral.
CACUAUCGUUAACUGAAUACAUAGGUUAACGAGGCGAACCGGGGGAACUGAAACAUCUAAGUACCCCGAGGAAAAGAAAUCAACCGAGAUUCCCCCAGUAGCGGCGAGCGAACGGGGAGCAGCCCAGAGUCUGAAUCAGCUUGUGUGUUAGUGGAACGGUCUGGAAAGUCCGACGGUACAGGGUGAUAGUCCCGUACACCAAAAUGCACAGGCUGUGAACUCGAAGAGUAGGGCGGGACACGUGGUAUCCUGUCUGAAUAUGGGGGGACCAUCCUCCAAGGCUAAAUACUCCUGACUGACCGAUAGUGAACCAGUACCGUGAGGGAAAGGCGAAAAGAACCCCGGCGAGGGGAGUGAAAAAGAACCUGAAACCGUGUACGUACAAGCAGUGGGAGCACCUUCGGGUGUGACUGCGUACCUUUUGUAUAAUGGGUCAGCGACUUAUAUUCUGUAGCAAGGUUAACCGUAUAGGGGAGCCGCAGGGAAACCGAGUCUUAACUGGGCGUUAAGUUGCAGGGUAUAGACCCGAAACCCGGUGAUCUAGCCAUGGGCAGGUUGAAGGUUGGGUAACACUAACUGGAGGACCGAACCGACUAAUGUUGAAAAAUUAGCGGAUGACUUGUGGCUGGGGGUGAAAGGCCAAUCAAACCGGGAGAUAGCUGGUUCUCCCCGAAAGCUAUUUAGGUAGCGCCUCGUGAAUUCAUCUUCGGGGGUAGAGCACUGUUUCGGCUAGGGGGUCAUCCCGACUUACCAACCCGAUGCAAACUACGAAUACCGAAGAAUGUUAUCACGGGAGACACACGGCGGGUGCUAACGUCCGUCGUGAAGAGGGAAACAACCCAGACCGCCAGCUAAGGUCCCAAAGUCAUGGUUAAGUGGGAAACGAUGUGGGAAGGCACAGACAGCCAGGAUGUUGGCUUAGAAGCAGCCAUCAUUUAAAGAAAGCGUAAUAGCUCACUGGUCGAGUCGGCCUGCGCGGAAGAUGUAACGGGGCUAAACCAUGCACCGAAGCUGCGGCAGCGACACUAUGUGUUGUUGGGUAGGGGAGCGUUCUGUAAGCCUGCGAAGGUGUGCUGUGAGGCAUGCUGGAGGUAUCAGAAGUGCGAAUGCUGACAUAAGUAACGAUAAAGCGGGUGAAAAGCCCGCUCGCCGGAAGACCAAGGGUUCCUGUCCAACGUUAAUCGGGGCAGGGUGAGUCGACCCCUAAGGCGAGGCCGAAAGGCGUAGUCGAUGGGAAACAGGUUAAUAUUCCUGUACUUGGUGUUACUGCGAAGGGGGGACGGAGAAGGCUAUGUUAGCCGGGCGACGGUUGUCCCGGUUUAAGCAUGUAGGCUGGUUAUCCAGGCAAAUCCGGAUAAUCAAGGCUGAGGUGUGAUGACGAGGCACUACGGUGCUGAAGUAACAAAUGCCCUGCUUCCAGGAAAAGCCUCUAAGCAUCAGGUAACAUCAAAUCGUACCCCAAACCGACACAGGUGGUCAGGUAGAGAAUACCAAGGCGCUUGAGAGAACUCGGGUGAAGGAACUAGGCAAAAUGGUGCCGUAACUUCGGGAGAAGGCACGCUGGUGUGUAGGUGAAGUCCCUGCGGAUGGAGCUGAGACCAGUCGAAGAUACCAGCUGGCUGCAACUGUUUAUUAAAAACACAGCACUGUGCAAACACGAAAGUGGACGUAUACGGUGUGACGCCUGCCCGGUGCCGGAAGGUUAAUUGAUGGGGUUAUCCGUAAGGAGAAGCUCUUGAUCGAAGCCCCGGUAAACGGCGGCCGUAACUAUAACGGUCCUAAGGUAGCGAAAUUCCUUGUCGGGUAAGUUCCGACCUGCACGAAUGGCGUAAUGAUGGCCAGGCUGUCUCCACCCGAGACUCAGUGAAAUUGAACUCGCUGUGAAGAUGCAGUGUACCCGCGGCAAGACGGAAAGACCCCGUGAACCUUUACUAUAGCUUGACACUGAACAUUGAGCCUUGAUGUGUAGGAUAGGUGGGAGGCUUUGAAGCGUGGACGCCAGUCUGCGUGGAGCCAACCUUGAAAUACCACCCUUUAAUGUUUGAUGUUCUAACGUUGGCCCCUGACCGGGGUUGCGGACAGUGUCUGGUGGGUAGUUUGACUGGGGCGGUCUCCUCCCAAAGCGUAACGGAGGAGCACGAAGGUUAGCUAAUCCUGGUCGGACAUCAGGAGGUUAGUGCAAUGGCAUAAGCUAGCUUGACUGCGAGCGUGACGGCGCGAGCAGGUGCGAAAGCAGGUCAUAGUGAUCCGGUGGUUCUGAAUGGAAGGGCCAUCGCUCAACGGAUAAAAGGUACUCCGGGGAUAACAGGCUGAUACCGCCCAAGAGUUCAUAUCGACGGCGGUGUUUGGCACCUCGAUGUCGGCUCAUCACAUCCUGGGGCUGAAGUAGGUCCCAAGGGUAUGGCUGUUCGCCAUUUAAAGUGGUACGCGAGCUGGGUUUAGAACGUCGUGAGACAGUUCGGUCCCUAUCUGCCGUGGGCGCUGGAGAAUUGAGGGGGGCUGCUCCUAGUACGAGAGGACCGGAGUGGACGCAUCACUGGUGUUCGGGUUGUCAUGCCAAUGGCACUGCCCGGUAGCUAAAUGCGGAAGAGAUAAGUGCUGAAAGCAUCUAAGCACGAAACUUGCCCCGAGAUGAGUUCUCCCUGAGACUUUAAGUCUCCUGAAGGAACGUU